GAUUAACGCUGGCGGCGUGCCUAACACAUGCAAGUCGAGCGGCAGCGAGUUUUACACUGAAUUCUGGAAGCUUCUAGUUGAAAGAGAAGAUUUAUUCAAGAAUUUUGUGUAAAAUGUCGGCGAGCGGCGGACGGCUGAGUAACGCGUGGGAACGUACCCCAAAGUGAGGGAUAACGCAUCGAAAGGUGUGCUAAUACCGCAUAUGGUCUUCGGAUUAAAGCCUUCGGGCGCUUUGGGAACGGCCUGCGUAAGAUUAGAUAGUUGGUGGGGUAAUGGCCUACCAAGUCGACGAUCUUUAACUGGUUUGAGAGAAUGAUCAGUCAGACUGGAACUGAGACACGGUCCAGACUCCUACGGGAGGCAGCAGUGAGGAAUCUUCCACAAUGGGCGAAAGCCUGAUGGAGCAACGCCGCGUGCAGGAUGAAGGCCUUCGGGUUGUAAACUGCUUUUAUAAGUGAGGAUUAUGACAGUAACUUAUGAAUAAGGAUCGGCUAACUACGUG
Molecule: ribosomal RNA, 502 nt
Filed under: uncultured bacterium
Lineage: Bacteria
Description: partial 16S ribosomal RNA
Rfam family: Bacterial small subunit ribosomal RNA
Source: RNAcentral